CCGGGCAACCCGGUAUGGGUGGCGAGUGGCGAACGGGUGAGUAACGCGUAGGAAUCUGCCCAGUAGUGGGGGAUAACCCGGGGAAACCCGGGCUAAUACCGCAUACGCCCUUCGGGGAAAGCGGGGGACCGAAAGGCCUCGCGCUAUUGGAUGAGCCUGCGUCCGAUUAGCUAGUUGGUAGGGUAAUGGCCUACCAAGGCGACGAUCGGUAGCUGGUCUGAGAGGACGGCCAGCCACACUGGGACUGAGACACGGCCCAGACUCCUACGGGAGGCAGCAGUGGGGAAUUUUGGACAAUGGGGGAAACCCUGAUCCAGCGAUGCCGCGUGGGUGAAGAAGGCCUGCGGGUUGUAAAGCCCUUUUAGUGAGGACGAAAUACGUCGACCUAAUACGGUGGCGAGUUGACUUAACUCACAGAAAAAGCACCGGCUAACUCCGUGCCAGCAGCCGCGGUAAUAC
This 459-nucleotide ribosomal RNA is filed under the name uncultured bacterium. Its description in RNAcentral is "bacterial SSU rRNA". It matches the Rfam family "Bacterial small subunit ribosomal RNA", at positions 74 to 526 of the family's 1533-position model. The record is from RNAcentral.